CUCGCCUCUUUGAAGUCGGAAUCGCUAGUAAUCGCAGAUCAGCAUGUUGCGGUGAAUACGUUUCCUGGUCUUGUACACACCGCCCGUCAAACCAUGAGAGUCGCCAACACCCGAAGUCCGCUUUGCGGCCUAAGGUGGGGGAGAUGAUUGGGGUUAAGUCGUAACAAGGUAAC
Molecule: ribosomal RNA, 173 nt
Filed under: uncultured bacterium
Lineage: Bacteria
Description: partial 16S ribosomal RNA
Rfam family: Bacterial small subunit ribosomal RNA
Source: RNAcentral